Pongo abelii (Sumatran orangutan) is the source of this 148-nucleotide unclassified non-coding RNA. It matches the Rfam family "Metazoan signal recognition particle RNA". Rfam says of the family: The signal recognition particle (SRP) is a universally conserved ribonucleoprotein. It is involved in the co-translational targeting of proteins to membranes. NCBI's taxonomy places the organism in Eukaryota, Metazoa, Chordata, Mammalia, Primates, Hominidae. The record is from Ensembl.
GCCAGGCAUGGUGGCGGGUGCCUGUAAUCCCAGCUACUCAGGAGGCUGAGGCAGGAGAAUUGCUUGAACCCAGGAUGUGGAGGUUGUAGUGAGCUGAGAUUGUGCCACUGCACUCCAGCCUGGGUGACAGAGCAAGAUUCCGUCUCAA